CCUUGACAUACUAAGAACUUUCCAGAGAUGGAUUGGUGCCUUCGGGAACUUAGAUACAGGUGCUGCAUGGCUGUCGUCAGCUCGUGUCGUGAGAUGUUGGGUUAAGUCCCGCAACGAGCGCAACCCUUUUCCUUAUUUGCCAGCGGGUCAUGCCGGGAACUUUAAGGAUACUGCCAGUGACAAACUGGAGGAAGGCGGGGACGACGUCAAGUCAUCAUGGCCCUUACGGCCAGGCUACACACGUGCUACAAUGGUCGGUACAAAGGGUUGCUACCUCGCGAGAGGAUGCUAAUCUCAAAAAGACCGAUCGUAGUCCGGAUCGCAGUCUGCAACUCGACUGCGUGAAGUCGGAAUCGCUAGUAAUCGCGGAUCAGAAUGCCGCGGUGAAUACGUUCCCGGGCCUUGUACACACCGCCCGUCACACCAUGGGAGUUUGUUGCACCAGAAGUAGGUAGUCUAACCGCAAGGAGGACGCUUACCACGGUGUGGCCGAUGACUGGGGUGAAGUCGUAACAAGGUAAGCGUAGAUGA
RNAcentral lists this ribosomal RNA (531 nucleotides) under uncultured bacterium. Its description in RNAcentral is "bacterial SSU rRNA". It matches the Rfam family "Bacterial small subunit ribosomal RNA", at positions 979 to 1509 of the family's 1533-position model. The record is from RNAcentral.